CCUACGGGGGGCUGCAGUGGGGAAUUGUUCGCAAUGGGCGCAAGCCUGACGACGCAACGCCGCGUGGAGGAUGAAGACUUUCGGGUCGUAAACUCCUUUCGACCGAGAUGAAUUCCCCUCGACCUAACACGUCGAGGGGGUGACAGUAUCGAGGGAAGAAGCCCCGGCUAACUCCGUGCCAGCAGCCGCGGUAAUACGGGGGGGGCAAGCGUUGUUCGGAAUUACUGGGCGUAAAGGGUUCGUAGGUGGCCUGCUAAGUCACACGUGAAAUCCCUCAGCUUAACUGGGGAACUGCGUGUGAGACUGGCGGGCUCGAGUGCAGGAGAGGAACGCGGAAUUCCAGGUGUAGCGGUGAAAUGCGUAGAUAUCUGGAGGAACACCGGUGGCGAAGGCGGCGUUCUGGACUGCAACUGACACUGAUGAACGAAAGCCAGGGGAGC
This 440-nucleotide ribosomal RNA is filed under the name uncultured bacterium. RNAcentral's name for it is "bacterial SSU rRNA". It matches the Rfam family "Bacterial small subunit ribosomal RNA", at positions 338 to 769 of the family's 1533-position model. The record is from RNAcentral.